Molecule: transfer RNA, 72 nt
Filed under: Bos taurus (domestic cattle)
Lineage: Eukaryota; Metazoa; Chordata; Mammalia; Artiodactyla; Bovidae
Also listed under: 4 other names
Rfam family: tRNA
About the family: Transfer RNA (tRNA) molecules are approximately 80 nucleotides in length. Their secondary structure includes four short double-helical elements and three loops (D, anti-codon, and T loops).
Source: Rfam by way of RNAcentral
UCCCUGGUGGCUCAGAGGGUAAAGAAUCUGCCUGCAAUGCAAGAGACCCAGGUUCGAUUCCUGGUCAGGAAG